GGGGGGGGGGAGCAGCUAAACACCCCCCAGCACCUCUUUAUCCCAUGAUUUUGGGGUGGGAGAAGUGUUUUCUCCCAUAAUUUUGGGGUGAAAGAGUGACUCUUCCAUGAUUUUGGGGUGGGAAAGGGCUUUUCCCAUGAUUUUGGGGUAGGAGAGGUCUGUUCUCCCAUGAUUUUGGGGUGGGAGAGGUUGUGUUCUCCCCUCAUUUUGGGGUAGGAAAGCUUUCUCCCAGCGUUUUGGGCUGGAAGAAAUGAUGUCUCC
Molecule: long non-coding RNA, 261 nt
Organism: Neopsephotus bourkii (Bourke's parrot)
Lineage: Eukaryota; Metazoa; Chordata; Aves; Psittaciformes; Psittacidae
Exons: 3
Source: RefSeq, a predicted model, not a curated record